This 518-nucleotide ribosomal RNA is filed under the name uncultured Chloroflexota bacterium. RNAcentral describes it as "bacterial SSU rRNA". It matches the Rfam family "Bacterial small subunit ribosomal RNA", at positions 364 to 896 of the family's 1533-position model. The record is from RNAcentral. Lineage: Bacteria; Bacillati; Chloroflexota.
UUGGGCAAUGGGCGAAAGCCUGACCCAGCAACGCCGCGUGUGUGAUGAAGGCCUUCGGGUCGUAAAGCACUUUUUCUGGGAGAUGAGAAAGGACAGUAUCCCAGGAAUAAGUCUCGGCUAACUACGUGCCAGCAGCCGCGGUAAAACGUAGGAGGCGAGCGUUAUCCGGAUUCACUGGGCGUAAAGCGCGUGCAGGUGGCGCGGUAAGUUGGGCGUGAAAUCUCCCGGCUCAACUGGGAGAGGUCGUCCAAUACUACCGUGCUUGAGAGCAGAAGAGGAAGAUGGAAUUCCCGGUGUAGUGGUGAAAUGCGUAGAUAUCGGGAGGAACACCAGUGGCGAAGGCGAUCUUCUGGUCUGUUUCUGACACUCAGACGCGACAGCUAGGGUAGUAAACGGGAUUAGAGACCCCGGUAAUCCUAGCCGUAAACGAUGUGAACUUGGCGUUGGUGGGUUAAACUCCAUCAGUGCCGUAGCAAACGCGAUAAGUUCACCGCCUGGGGACUACGGCCGCAAGGUUA